Molecule: ribosomal RNA, 200 nt
Filed under: uncultured bacterium
Lineage: Bacteria
Description: partial 16S ribosomal RNA
Rfam family: Bacterial small subunit ribosomal RNA
Source: RNAcentral
AGAGUUUGAUCCUGGCUCAGGACGAACGCUGGCGGCGUGCCUAACACAUGCAAGUCGAGCGAGGGAAACUCUUCGGAGCGGAACUAGCGGCGGACGGGUGAGUAACACGUGGGCAACCUGCCUCGUAGAGGGGAAUAGCCUUUCGAAAGGAAGAUUAAUACCCCAUAAGAUUGUAGUUCCGCAUGGAAUAGCAAUUAAAG